Molecule: long non-coding RNA, 3177 nt
Filed under: Linum usitatissimum (flax)
Lineage: Eukaryota; Viridiplantae; Streptophyta; Magnoliopsida; Malpighiales; Linaceae
Description: long non-coding RNA (LUSI_LNC007909)
Source: RNAcentral
UCCUAUUCGGACUCCAAAAGACUUUCUGGCUGUUGGCGCUUCCCCAAAAGCAUUGAGGUAUUAUCCAUGUUUCGGAUAGAAAUGGAGGAACUUGAUAUUGGGAAGUUAAAGAUGCUAAAGACGUUGAAACUAAACGAUAGUAAAAUACAAAAGGUAAGUGGGGGAACCUUUGGUAUGUUGAAGGGACUCGUAGAACUUUAUCUCGGCGACUUCAAGUGUACAAAUUUGAGACAAGUAGUUGCCGAUAUCAGUCAACUUUCGUCUCUCAAAGUCUUGGACACAUAUAGAGUUGAAGAGGUCGAGAUUAAGGAAUUUCCAUCAGUUUUGAAGAAGUUAUCCACUUCAUCUCGGAUUCCGAAUCUUUCACAGUUGUUGGAUUUGGAGGUACUGGAGGUUCUGUAUUGCAAGGAUGGAAUGGACAUCCCUCCUGCUAAGAGUACUGAAGAUGAAGGUAGCGUGUGGUGGAAGGUAUCCAAGUUGAAGUCUUUGAAACUCUAUCGCACAAGAAUCAAUAUCGACGUUGUGGAUGCUUCUUCCGGUUGUCGUUAUUUACUACCAUCGUCGCUAACCUCUCUCAAAAUAAAUUCGUGUGAAGAACCAACGUGGCUUCCAGGAAUAGAGAACUUGGAGAAUUUGACUUCGCUGGAAGUCAACGACAUCUCCCAAACUCUUGGAGGUGAUUUGGAUGGGCUACAAGGGUUGAGAUCAUUGCAAAUUCUUAGGAUUCGGUUAGUAAAUGGUUUAGUUCGGAUCAAAGGGCUUAAGGAUCUCUUGUGUUCUUCUACCUGCAAGUUGCGGAAAUUAGAUAUUAUAACAUGCCAUGACCUCACUGAGAUACUCCCAUGCGAAAUCGACGACCAAAAAGUGGUAGUCCCCUCUCUGGUAGAACUGACCAUUAGGAAGUGUCCACGGCUGGAGGUUGGUCCGAUGAUAAGAUCCCUCCCAAAGUUCCCAAUGCUAAAGGAGUUGGAACUGUUGAUGGUAAAAAUAGCUGAAGAGGAGGAUCUGGAUGUGAUCGGAUCCUUAGAAGAGUUGGUUUAUUUAUGGUUAGAGUUAGACGAUACAUCUUCCGGUAUAGAGAGGAUAGCUUCCUUGUCGAAGCUGCAAAAGUUAACUACACUCACAGUGAAGGUGCCGAGUUUGCGGGAGAUUGAAGGGCUUGCAGAGUUGAAGUCUUUAUGUCUUUUGAUUCUAGAGGGUUGCACGUCGUUGGAAAGACUGUGGCCUGAUGAACAGCUGGUGUGUAGUCUGGAGAAGCUGAAGCACCUCGACAUCCGAGGUUGCAGAAGCUUGAGUGUUGAUCAUCUCUCUGCACUCAAGACCACUCUAUCACCCAAGGUGAGUAUAACAUGGCCCGAUGAGAAAUACAGACGAUUGCGGUUAUUUGAUUGAGAUUUUUAUAAGUUACGAGGUAGUUAUUAUUUUGAAGAACACUCUUUUGUUACAGGCAUCAAGUUUGAUUGUGAUGGUAGUGCUUAUGAGUUUUAUAAAAUAUUAGUUUGUAUGGUCGUAUGAUGUUGCUGAAUUUUAUUGCUGAAUUUUAAAUUGAAGUUGAUAUGACAUUACACACCCGUAGAUAAAGUAAUAAAUAGUUGUAUAAUUAUAAAUAUAAGAUGGUGAACAAAACACCGAAUGGAUUGAAACAUUAAUAAAUUGCUCAUAUAGUGGCGGAAGGAAGAUGAUAAAGGAGAGAGUUUCGAAGUCCAAAAUUCUUAUCGUUCUUGAUGAUGUUGACGAGAAGUUUAAAUUUGAAGAAAUACUUGGCUGUCCUAAUGAUUUUGAUUCUCGAAGUAGAUUCAUCAUUACUUCAAGAAAUCAGAAAGUCUUGAGUACUUUAAAUGAGAAUCAAUGCCAGUUGUAUGAAGUUGGAUCGAUGAGCGAACCACAUUCGCUUGAACUCUUCUUCAAGCAUGCAUUCAAAAAGAAUACGCCUUCAUCGAAGUAUGUGACUCAAGCAAAUGAGAUUGUAUCUACUACGGGAGGACUUCCAUUGACUUUUAAGGUUAUAGGUUCGCUUUUAUAUAGACAACAGAUUGAGGUUUGGGAAGAUACGUUGGAACAGUUACAUAAAACUGGUAUGGUUGGUGAUGAUGAGGUUUAUGAGAGGUUAAAAAUAAGUUAUGAUAAGUUGGAGUUGAAGGCAAAAGAGAUUUUCUUGGAUAUAGCUUGCUUUUUCAUCAAUACAAAGAAAGAAGAACCAUAUCACAUGUGGAGCGACUGUAAUUUUUAUCCUAAAAGUAAUAUUAUUUUUCUCAUUCAAAGAUGUAUGAUACAAGUUGGGGAUGAUGGGGUGUUUGAGAUGCAUGACCAACUUAGAGAUAUGGGUAGAGAAAUUGUGAGAAGAGAGGAUGUGGAGCGGCCGUGGAAGAGAAGUAGGAUAUGGUCGAGCGAAGAAGGAAUUGAUCUCUUAUUGAACAAAAAGGUAUUUCAUUUUCUGUAAAUUAUAUUUAAAUCACAGUUGUUGAACAAAAAGGUAUUUUAUUUUCUGUAAAAUUAUUAUUAAUUUAAAUGACAUAACUGAUAAUUAAAUAUGUUCCUUGUCAAAUUACAGGGAUCAAGUCAAGUAAAAGCAAUUCGCAUAGACCCACCCUGGGAGUCAGAUGUCAAGUAUGAGUUUAAGAGUGAAUGUUUUUUGAAUUUGUCAGAGUUGAGAUAUUUUGAUGCAGAUCCAACAAUAUUGCUGACCGGAGAUUUCAAUAAUCUUCUCCCGAAUUUGAGGUGGCUUCAAUUGCCAGCUUACGCAUAUGAAGAGGACGGUCCUCUUUUGACCAAUUUUACUAUGAAAAAUCUGAUAAUUUUAAUCCUUGGGGUAAACAGCGCAAUAGAGCUUUUGAAGGUGCACUAUUUUCCGCCGUCAGUUGUGGAAUCAAUUUAUGAUAGUCUUUGUUCUUCACGUUUCGGUUGGGGCCUUAUGAAGGUUAAUUUGGUUGUGGCUGAGAGGCUGAAAGUUGUACGACUUUCUCCAGCAACAGUCUAUAGGAUCCCCGAAACAUUUGGCUGUUGGCGCUUCCCCAAAAGCAUUGAGGUAUUAUCCAUGAAUUCUAUGAGAAUUGAAGAACUUGAUAUUGGGGAGUUAAAGAAGCUAAAGACGUUGGAUCUGAGCUACUGUACAAUACAAAAGAUAAGUGGGGGAACCUUUGGUAUGUUGAAGGGACUCAUAGAGCUUGAACUCAUCGA